UAGUAUGCCUUUUUUAACCGACUUUAAAAAUAACUUCGUCGCUUAUGAACCGAUUUUGAUAAUUCUUUUUCUUUGUUGGAAAUGAGAUGUCCCAAGUGUGGUACCAUGAUAGGAAACCAGGAUCUGAUGAUGAAUUGUAGUGACAACUAGUGCGUUUGUUAAUUUAUUUCUUCAACUCAUGUUGUAUUACUUGUCGAUGUAAUUGAAGUCGGUUUUUUUCGUUUGCGAGCAAACAAAAUUAUUUGUGUUUUUUGCAGUCGAUCUGAAGGAGUAAACUCCAGUCUUGCGUUUGUUAUGAUCACGUUAAACUAUCGUCCGUAAAUCAAUUUUACAGACACCACUUUACGAACACCAUUUUAUUUUUUAUUUUUUUCCGGACCUUUUCGACACAAUGUUGUAUCCCUUAUUAUUUCUUUCCAGAUUAUAUUCGUAUUUUAUUAUAAUUGUUUUUGAAAUGUUACAAGAAAAAAAUAAAUAUUGUGAUGUGAAAAAGACGUAAUAUUUAAGAGUGACAUAAUGAUUAUUAUAUUAAGGCUUAACAUUAAAUUAUUAUUGCGAAUAUUGAUGUACUAUAUUUAUUGAUUAGUAUUAUUAAUAAUAAGAAGCAUUUUAUACAAAAAAAAAAAAAAAAAAAAAAAAAAAAAAAA
Molecule: unclassified non-coding RNA, 647 nt
Filed under: Melitaea cinxia (Glanville fritillary)
Lineage: Eukaryota; Metazoa; Arthropoda; Insecta; Lepidoptera; Nymphalidae
Description: misc RNA ENSMCXG00005019984.1
Source: RNAcentral